UCAGCCUACGGGAGGCAGCAGUGAGGAAUAUUGGUCAAUGGACGAGAGUCUGAACCAGCCAAGUAGCGUGAAGGAUGACUGCCCUAUGGGUUGUAAACUUCUUUUAUAUGGGAAUAAAACAGGGUAUGCAUACCCUUUUGUAUGUACCAUAUGAAUAAGGAUCGGCUAACUCCGUGCCAGCAGCCGCGGUAAUACGGAGGAUCCGAGCGUUAUCCGGAUUUAUUGGGUUUAAAGGGAGCGUAGGUGGAUUGUUAAGUCAGUUGUGAAAGUUUGCGGCUCAACCGUAAAAU
RNAcentral lists this ribosomal RNA (290 nucleotides) under uncultured bacterium. Its description in RNAcentral is "partial 16S ribosomal RNA". It matches the Rfam family "Bacterial small subunit ribosomal RNA", at positions 331 to 621 of the family's 1533-position model. The record is from RNAcentral.